This 1570-nucleotide unclassified non-coding RNA is filed under the name uncultured fungus. RNAcentral's name for it is "sequence contains 18S rRNA gene, ITS1, 5.8S rRNA gene, ITS2, 28S rRNA gene". The stretch from base 545 to 1570 matches the Rfam family "Eukaryotic large subunit ribosomal RNA", at positions 1 to 961 of the family's 3401-position model. The record is from RNAcentral. Lineage: Eukaryota; Fungi.
GGAAGGAUCAUUAACAAAUUUUCCCAACCAAACACGUUUGUGAACUGUUAUCAAGUCCAUGGUGAGCCCCGUCCUAGGCUGCAUUGACUACUUUGUGUCUUGCAGUUCUGGGCGGACCAUCAUGUUUAUUUACGUUUGACUUACAACUGAACUGAGACUUUAUUUUAAAUAAAGACAACUUUUAGCAACGGAUCUCUAGGCUCUCGCAACGAUGAAGAACGCAGCGAAAUGCGAUAAGUAAUGUGAAUUGCAGAAACCGUGAAUCAUCAAAUCUUUGAACGCACAUUGCACUGUCUGGAAUUCCGGGCAGUAUGCCUGUUUGAGCAUCAGUUCCACCUCAUCUAAGUUGAUUCGCAAGAGUUGCUUGGGUGAACUUGAGUCUUGUUAGCGCUUCAAUGCUAACUGACUUGGAAUUGAGAAGGCGCGCUUGGGAAGUGCUCUGUAGAACUAUUGUCUUAGGACUUAAUCUGCGACACUUUGCAAGUUCACCUUUCAAAACUUUAAAUGCCUUGGCCAGACUUUUUGUCUGGUCUCGUCAGAUUAUUGAUCUCAAAUCAGGCAAGAUUACCCGCUGAACUUAAGCAUAUUAAUAAGCGGAGGAAAGAAACUAACAAGGAUUCCCCCAGUAACGGCGAGUGAAGCGGGAUCAGCUCAAAUUUUUAAUCUCCUCGGAGAAUUGUAGUUUAAAGAAGUGUUUUCGAUGGCAUCCUAGGUAAAAGUCCCUUGGAACAGGGCGUCAUAGAGGGUGAGAAUCCCGUACAUGAUCUAGGUAAUGUCACACUGUGAUACGCUUUCAAAGAGUCGGAUUGUUUGGGAAUGCAGUCCAAAGUGGGUGGUAUAUUCCAUCUAAGGCUAAAUAUUGGCGAGAGACCGAUAGCGAACAAGUACCGUGAGGGAAAGAUGAAAAGAACUUUGAAAAGAGAGUUAAAUAGUACGUGAAAUUGCUAAAAGGGAAACGAUUGAAAUCAGUGUUAUGCCUAGGAAAUCAAUCGCCAGUAUCUGGCGGUGCACUUUUCUAGGCGUAAGUCAACAUCAGUUUGGGGACAUGGAAAAAAUUUCAGGAAGGUGGCUGGCUCUCGAGUCAGUGUUAUAGCCUGGGAUUAUGCAUGGACCUGGACUGAGGACUGCAGUGCUUUCUUGGGACUUCUCGUAUUUUUUAGGCAUUGAGAUGUAUUCUGCAUGCAGAGUGCGUUUCUCUGUCUGGCUAAUGCGGGUUUGUUCACACCAGCGCUUAGGAUGUUGACGAAAUGGUUUUAAACGACCCGUCUUGAAACACGGACCAAGGAGUCUAACAUACAUGCGAGUGUUUGGGUGUUAAACUCAUCCGCGAAAUGAAAGUGAACGUAGGUGGGAUCCGCAAGGUGCACCAUCGACCGAUCUGGAUAUUUAUUGAUAGAUUUGAGUACGAGCAUAUCUGUUGGGACCCGAAAGAUGGUGAACUAUGCCUGAAUAGGGUGAAGCCAGAGGAAACUCUGGUGGAGGCUCGUAGCGAUUCUGACGUGCAAAUCGAUCGUCAAAUUUGGGUAUAGGGGCGAAAGACUAAUCGAACCAUCUAGUAGCUGGUUCCCUC